RNAcentral lists this unclassified non-coding RNA (372 nucleotides) under soil metagenome. RNAcentral's name for it is "partial contains 5.8S ribosomal RNA, internal transcribed spacer 2, and large subunit ribosomal RNA". The stretch from base 1 to 120 matches the Rfam family "5.8S ribosomal RNA", at positions 35 to 154 of the family's 154-position model. The record is from RNAcentral.
GAUGAAGAACGCAGCGAAAUGCGAUAGGUAAUGUGAAUUGCAGAAUUCAGUGAAUCAUCGAAUCUUUGAACGCACAUUGCGCCCUUUGGUAUUCCGAAGGGCAUGCCUGUUCGAGCGUCAUUAUCACCCCUCAAGCCCUCGGCUUGGUGUUGGACGGUUUGGUGGAGGCCCCCUCGGGGGCUCCUGCCCCUCCCAAAGACAAUGACGGCGGCCUCGUUGGACCCCCGGUACACUGAGUUCUUCACGGGACACGUAUCGGACACAUGGGUUUACGGGACACGGUCUGCCUCCCCUCAGGGAGAAUCUUUCUAAGGUUGACCUCGGAUCAGGUAGGGAUACCCGCUGAACUUAAGCAUAUCAAUAAGCGGAGGA